This 314-nucleotide ribosomal RNA is filed under the name uncultured eukaryote. RNAcentral's name for it is "partial large subunit ribosomal RNA". It matches the Rfam family "Eukaryotic large subunit ribosomal RNA", at positions 40 to 350 of the family's 3401-position model. The record is from RNAcentral.
AUAUUAUUAAGGGGAGGAAAAGAAACUAACAAGGAUUCCCUCAGUAACGGCGAGUGAAGCGGGAAAAGCUCAAGUUUAAAAUCCGCAGGUCUAACAGCCUGUGGAGUUGUAACCUAGCGAGCCUCUCUCAGUGCCAGCCUGGUCGUAAGUCCUCUGAAACGAGGCAUCAUAGAGGGUGAAAAUCCCGUAUAUGCCGGAGUUAGGUACGUACGAGGAGGUUUCCAAGAGUCGCGUUGCUUGGGAGUGCAGCGCUAAAUGGGUGGUAAAGUUCAUCUAAAGCUAAAUACUGGCGCGAGACCGAUAGCGCACAAGUA